RNAcentral lists this transfer RNA (72 nucleotides) under Camelus bactrianus (Bactrian camel). It matches the Rfam family "tRNA". From Rfam's summary of the family: Transfer RNA (tRNA) molecules are approximately 80 nucleotides in length. Their secondary structure includes four short double-helical elements and three loops (D, anti-codon, and T loops). RNAcentral also lists the same sequence under 1 other name. The record is from Rfam by way of RNAcentral. Lineage: Eukaryota; Metazoa; Chordata; Mammalia; Artiodactyla; Camelidae.
GAGGGUAUAGCUCAGUGGUAGGGCACACGUUUAGCAUAGAUGAAGUCCUGGGUUCAAUCUCCAGUACUGUCA